This is a long non-coding RNA of Carassius gibelio (silver crucian carp), 3009 nucleotides long. RefSeq lists it as uncharacterized. The record is from RefSeq and is a predicted model, not a curated record. Lineage: Eukaryota; Metazoa; Chordata; Actinopteri; Cypriniformes; Cyprinidae. The transcript is spliced from 6 exons.
CAGUCUGCGUAUAAAUAACACGACUUUACACUUUCUAUUUGCGUGUAAUGCAUACGCCAAAUGCCAUUUUUGCGUGCAUAUGAUACGCCAAUCCUUCCCAUUAAUUUCGGUGGAGAGCAGAUGCGUCCAAAUAACACGCAUCAUCUUCAGCGGCAGUGACGUCACUAGCGAGGCUCGUUCAGUUCACCUGAUGCGCGUACACCUUCAAACAGGUAAGCAAGGGUAAAUAUAUUUUUUUAUUCUUCUUUUUGUAAUGAUAUCACGUGGUUAAGCGUAUUGUUUUAAUUAUUUCAGUAUUUCUGCAUCACGUUAGACAGGGCCGUGUUUUUAAAGGGCAGUUUAUGCUCCAAUUAUGGGUCAGUGGGCUGCUCAGCUAGCCUACCAUUGUCAUUAGCCUAAGCUAACCUGUACUGUUUAUAGACCUGUUGCAGUUUUAAAUAAAUUUAUGAUGUGGCAUAUGGGUCUUCAGCUUUUAGACAUGACUAAUACAAGCACAACAAAGCACCCAACCCAAUAUCGCGUGAUAAUCGUGAUCGUGUAAAAAGUCCACACAUUUAGCAUAUUUUUACAAUACUAGCCUAACUUUUGCUUGACCACGUCAUGUGUAGCCAAUACACACACAGUAACUACAGCAUAUUUACCAUGCUUCUCCUACUGUAACUGUAGUUUUACUCUGGACUUUGUAACGCACAUAACCACGACAUUUACUAUGGGUUUACCAUAGUAACCAUAGUUUUACUCUGGUAUUUGUAUUUACUAACACACAAUAACCACGACAUUUACUAUGGGUUUACCAUAGUAACCAUAGUUUUACUCUGGUAUUUGUAUUUACUAACACACAAUAACCACGACAUUUACUAUGGGUUUACCAUAGUAACCAUAGUUUUACUCUGGUAUUUGUAUUUACUAACACACAAUAACCACGACAUUUACUAUGGGUUUACCAUAGUAACUUAGUUUUACUCUGGUAUUUGUAUUUACUAACACACAAUAACCACGACAUUUACUAUGGGUUUACCAUAGUAACCAUAGUUUUACUCUGGUAUUUGUAUUUACUAACACACAAUAACCACAACAUUUACUAUGGGUUUACCAUAGUAACCAUAGUUUUACUCUGGUAUUUGUAUUUACUAACACACAAUAACCACGACAUUUACUAUGGGUUUACCAUAGUAACCAUAGUUUUACUCUGGUAUUUGUAUUUACUAACACACAAUAACCACGACAUUUACUAUGGGUUUACCAUAGUAACCAUAGUUUUACUCUGGUAUUUGUAUUUACUAACACACAAUAACCACGACAUUUACUAUGGGUUUACCAUAGUAACCAUAGUUUUACUCUGGUAUUUGUAUUUACUAACACACAAUAACCACGACAUUUACUAUGGGUUUACCAUAGUAACCAUAGUUUUACUCUGGUAUUUGUAUUUACUAACACACAAUAACCACAACACUUACCAGGAUUUUACCACAGUAACUGUUUUUACUCUACACUAUUUGUAAAGCACAGUAACCACUAAGUUUGCCAUGCCUUUAAUAUCUUUUUGUGAUGUAAUUGUAAUUCAGUGUUUUUUCUGUCUUGCAGUUACGUCAGAUUACAUACUCCACAACAACCUGUAAUCCAGCAGAUCUUUAAAGAAGCCAUCUCUUGUAAAAUCUCUCUCUCUCUCUCUCUCUCUCUCUCUCUCUCUCGCUCUGCUAGAAUUAACAGGGAACUUCAACUCCACGCUCCCAAUGCUGAUAUUGAAGAAGCAGUCAAGGGGGCUGAACAAGUCCUUCAAAGGAUCAACCCUUCACAGGAAGGCCUGUCAUGAGAUUUGAAUUUGACCAUCUUGUGCAUUUAUGAAGAAGACCAAAAGCUGCAAAGGCAAACACUUCCAAUGGCAGAAACUGAGAGUUUGCAUGAUGGCAUUUUCUCAGACGCUGAAUCUGAUGUGUACAGAUGAACUCAGGAGCCUACUAGAGUUGCCAAGGAACUUGUGCUUGAACUGAAGACCAGAAACGCAAAGAAAAUCAGUCAAACCAGUCCUAAAGAAAUGAGGAAUGAACAUGGACUUCUUGUGCCCCAAAAGAAAAGACAGAAAGCUCCUAAAAUGAGCAAAUAAGCUGUGCAUCAUCUCUGUGAUUUGGGAAGGAAAUGACUGAAUAUGAUGAAGCCAAUUGAUGAAGAUAUCAAUUGAAUGGCCACCGAGUGCAUCACUGCUACCUGAACCCAUCAGUUAUCUUCUGUGAAGACUGCAUUCACAAACCGCUCUACUGCGACAGCUCAGAUGUUACGGUCCGUAAAAGUAAACAUCACAGCUAAACAACGAGAGCUAGUUGUUGUGGGAUUCUUUUGGCCAAUAUCCCCAACAAGAAUCAAUGUUAAGUCCAGUGCAACAAUUAUAAAUAAAAAUACUAUAUAUUGUUUAUUGAUUUACCAUACCCUAAAUACAUGUUUUGGCCCUCCAGGACAUCUAGACCAGGUGGAGUGUGAGGAGGACCGUCAGAGACGCCAGCCAGCCGAGCCAUGGAUUGCUCUCACUGUUACCAUCAGGCAGGCGUUAUCACAGAACCUACACCAGCAGACAGUGAGACAAGUUCCUUUCACAGGCAAUCAGACUGAACUGAACUCAUACCAGUAAAACCAUACACACCCCACCAACCUCAUAUGCCCUGCACUCUUAUCAGUUAUGCUGACUGGACUCAAUAUUAUUAUGCACCCUGACAUUCUGUUUGCACUAAUUCAUACCGUGCUUUACUGCAGAGAUGUAUGUGUACUGUGAUUAUUAUUGUUUUCAAUUCAUGCUCUUUGUAUAGCAUAAUUUUUAACAUAUAUUGUUCUCUACCUGAAUUGAGUCCCUUAUAUAUGUGUGUUGCAUAUAUAUAUAUUCAGAAUUUUUAUUUCAUAUAUAUUCAUGAAUUAAUUCAUUUGUCAUCCAUACUGUCACGCUGCAGUCUGCACCCAAGACUUUCAUCACCUGUAUACUUGUGUUCAUUGUAUUGUGACAAUAAAGAUAUUUGAUUUAAA